GAUAUUCACUGUUUUGAACUAUUUUGGUUAUUCAUGGCAUUGAUUGACAAAAUCAUGUACUUGAGACCUCUCACUUCCAUUGCCAACUACUCAGUUUUUACAGUUGAAAGCAACUCUUAGUGCAUGUAAUAUUUGUGUUCAGGUACUAUAAUCGAUGCAAAAGAAGUAUGUAAACAAAAUUGUUCCUGCAACCCAUUCAAUUAAGAUUCAAAUGCUCAUUACAAACUUUGCUUUCUUUUUAUUUGAGAAAAUAAGGGAAACCAGAAAGCAUCUUAAUCCUAAACAAGAGAACUUGAGAACUCAAAACAAAGAGGAGGGAGAAUGAGAUCUUUUUUCUUUUCUGACCCAAAGAUAUAUGAGAAAGUCUCUCAAUGCCAACAGGACGGCUCUCACAAACAAUCCUGUUUGAAGUCUGACUCAUUAAGGCUGCUGAUAUGGCUUCCUCGAGUCACCCAAAUGGGUCAGGUCUUCAGAAAGCAAUUAGCAACAGUGUGGAGACUCCUUUUGAGAGGCUGCUUUCUGGCUUUGCUUCAUUGGGCUACUUCCAAUUUGAUGAAAAA
Vitis riparia (riverbank grape) is the source of this 560-nucleotide long non-coding RNA. RefSeq lists it as uncharacterized. The record is from RefSeq and is a predicted model, not a curated record. Lineage: Eukaryota; Viridiplantae; Streptophyta; Magnoliopsida; Vitales; Vitaceae. The transcript has 2 exons.